ACCCUCCAUUCCAGCCUGGAGUUGGUGGAUCCUCCCGCCGCGUCCAACCGCAAACUGGUCAUCGUGAUGGUAGGAGCGGUGCUAAUCCUGAGCAUCAGCAGUGUUGGAGUCCUUGUGGCGACGUAUCUUGGCAGAACAGCCUGCAUCCAGGUAUGGGGGCGAAAGCCCAGUGGGCACGACCCUUCCUCUCCUCCAUCUUGGCCACCAAGGAUCCACAGUUGGGCCCGCAAACAGCGACGUGGGGCCGAGAAGCAGAGCAGGGACUGAUCCCAAAGGCAUGCUAAGGGGAGCGGCGUUCCUUGAAGCCCUUCAAAGAUGGGCGCCAUCAAAAGCUCUGCUGAUUGGGACCCUCCAAAAAGAUCAGGGUCUGUGGGAAACCAAAGUUUAGCAAGCCUGUUUGGGAGGAAAUGGAUUUGAAACCCCCCCCCCCCCGUGGCUUGUCCAAGAAGACUUUCGGGCAAGUCUAACCACAGUUCUGGCUUCCAGGGCAAAAUGCCAGCAAGGCUAAACACGAUGGCGUCUGUAAUAAUUCGGAAUCUGACACUAUUGUCUUUCUCCUUUUCUCUUAUCCUGCUGCAGAGGGAUCCCUUUGGCUACCUGCCCCCCCAAGUCAANGUCCAGAACGAAGCCUCCUUGUUGCUUGCCCUCAGCGAACUGGGGGAGCAGGGUGUGGCACCAGGCAUCACCUGUGACCUGAGGAACCACUUGAUGGUGUACCACGGGCAGCCAGAAGGGUGCGUGGUGCGCAAAAUGGAAGCUUCUGAACCACUNCCUUCCUGCCAGGACCUAGAGAACUACUUCCAGGCUGUUCUAGUAAGGAUCCUAAAAAAAUAUUUUCAUGGGGACGGGUCCUUAUUGCAGCCGGAGGGGCAAGCAGCCAACUACAAACUUCAUUUACAGCCACUCUGUUUAUGCUGUUGGCAAUCUUGGAUUUUCUGGAAAAGGUACAAAAUNUUUUUUUGCUGGCUUGCAGGACAGGUGCCUUUUGCUGCCUACAAGUGAAUUUAGAACCGGCGGCCCUUAGGAAAUUCUUAAAUGCUGCCACAAAACUGACAAGCUAAAAAUUUCUUGUAAAAUUGGCAGCAGGUGCCUGCAUGUGCUAAAAGCCUUAUUUNCUCUUGCUCCAAAACAAUGGUUUGUUCCUAACACAGGAUUAAACAGGCAAACAAGGGCUUUUUCAAACCUUGCCUGGGAAGUCUCUCCACAGUCAGAAAAGGUUUGAGAGAUCUGCAACCUUAAUGUCUUAUCACAGAGAGCUUUAUGGGGGGAAAACGCCAAUAAAUGCUGAUUUUGUCCAAUGGGUUCCA
RNAcentral lists this long non-coding RNA (1307 nucleotides) under Salvator merianae (Argentine black and white tegu). RNAcentral describes it as "lncRNA (ENSSMRG00000010096.1)". The record is from RNAcentral. Lineage: Eukaryota; Metazoa; Chordata; Lepidosauria; Squamata; Teiidae.